CCGUGAUGAACUAACCGUCUGUCGCUGGGAAGAAGCUUAACUUGGGGGAAACUGCCACGAAAAUAAAACUUUAAUAUAAGUUUGCCUUUCUUUAAUUUUGUUAUUUUAGAAAUUUAAAUUAUUAAUUUAAUUUUUUCCUAGUCCCUUAUCCAAAAGAUGAGGAGCCGUAGUAGGUAGUUUUUAUUUAUAUAUUUUUAUUUAAGUAUAAAAAAUAAUAAUUUUUGCAUUUAAAAAACACUUAUAUUAAGAUAUUUAGUCACUGUUAACCCAUUUAAGUAACAUCUCAAAAGUCCAUAGCAAGGUAGAUUGUACUGGAA
Molecule: ribosomal RNA, 317 nt
Filed under: Pleurotus columbinus
Lineage: Eukaryota; Fungi; Basidiomycota; Agaricomycetes; Agaricales; Pleurotaceae
Description: partial small subunit ribosomal RNA
Source: RNAcentral